RNAcentral lists this ribosomal RNA (375 nucleotides) under Escherichia coli. RNAcentral's name for it is "partial 23S ribosomal RNA". It matches the Rfam family "Bacterial large subunit ribosomal RNA", at positions 60 to 474 of the family's 2925-position model. Lineage: Bacteria; Pseudomonadati; Pseudomonadota; Gammaproteobacteria; Enterobacterales; Enterobacteriaceae. The record is from RNAcentral.
GCUAAUCUGCGAUAAGCGUCGGUAAGGUGAUAUGAACCGUUAUAACCGGCGAUUUCCGAAUGGGGAAACCCAGUGUGUUUCGACACACUAUCAUUAACUGAAUCCAUAGGUUAAUGAGGCGAACCGGGGGAACUGAAACAUCUAAGUACCCCGAGGAAAAGAAAUCAACCGAGAUUCCCCCAGUAGCGGCGAGCGAACGGGGAGGAGCCCAGAGCCUGAAUCAGUGUGUGUGUUAGUGGAAGCGUCUGGAAAGGCACGCGAUACAGGGUGACAGCCCCGUACACAAAAAUGCACAUAUUGUGAGCUCGAUGAGUAGGGCGGGACACGUGGUAUCCUGUCUGAAUAUGGGGGGACCAUCCUCCAAGGCUAAAUACU